Molecule: ribosomal RNA, 1528 nt
Filed under: metagenome
Description: bacterial SSU rRNA
Rfam family: Bacterial small subunit ribosomal RNA
Source: RNAcentral
AGAGUUUGAUUCUGGCUCAGAACGAACGCUGGCGGCGUGGAUAAGACAUGCAAGUCGAACGACAAUCAGAGGGUAGCAAUAUUUUCUGGUUGGAGUGGCGCAAGGGUGCGUAACACGUGGGUAAUCUGCCGUGAAGUUGGGGAUAACUCGCUGAAAGGCGAGCUAAUACCGAAUGUGAUUGUUAGGAGGCAUCUCCAGACAAUCAAAGUUGGGGACCGAAAGGCCUGAUGCUUCACGAUGAGCCCGCGGCCUAUCAAGCUAGUUGGUGAGGUAACGGCCCACCAAGGCGAUGACGGGUAGCUGGUCUGAGAGGACGACCAGCCACACUGGAACUGAGACACGGUCCAGACACCUACGGGUGGCAGCAGUCGAGAAUUUUUCUCAAUGGGCGCAAGCCUGAAGGAGCGACGCCGCGUGGGGGAUGAAGGGCUUCGGCUCGUAAACCCCUGUCAUUUGCGAACAAUUCUGUUGGUCGAAUAAGCCAGCAGUUGAUAGUAGCAAAAGAGGAAGGGACGGCUAACUCUGUGCCAGCAGCCGCGGUAAUACAGAGGUCCCAAGCGUUGUUCGGAUUCACUGGGCGUAAAGGGUGCGUAGGCGGUAAGGUAAGUUUGGUGUGAAAUCUCCAGGCCUAACCUGGAAACUGCACUGAAUACUAUCUUGCUCGAGGGUCGGAGGGGAGACUGGAAUUCUCGGUGUAGCAGUGAAAUGCGUAGAUAUCGAGAGGAACACCAGUGGCGAAGGCGAGUCUCUGGACGAUUCCUGACGCUGAGGCACGAAAGCUAGGGGAGCAAACAGGAUUAGAUACCCUGGUAGUCCUAGCCCUAAACGGUGCACAUUUGCUGUGAGCGGAAUCGACCCCGUUCGUGGCGUAGCUAACGCAUUAAAUGUGCCGCCUGGGAAGUACGGCCGCAAGGUUAAAACUCAAAGAAAUUGACGGGGGCCUGCACAAGCGGUGGAGUAUGUGGCUUAAUUCGAUUCAACGCGAAGAACCUUACCUGGCCUUGACAUGUAGGUAGUAGAAGGAUGAAAGUCUAACGAGGUAGCAAUACCAGCCUACACAGGUGCUGCAUGGCUGUCGUCAGCUCGUGUCGUGAGAUGUUGGGUUAAGUCCCGCAACGAGCGCAACCCUCGUGUCCUGUUGCAAUCCGAACGAGAGUUCGGAGCACUCUGGACAGACUGCCUCAUUUAAAUGAGGAGGAAGGUGAGGAUGACGUCAAGUCAGGAUGGCCCUUACGGCCAGGGCUGCACACGUACUACAAUGCGCGGCACAAAGAGAAGCAAGACCGCAAGGUGGAGCAAAUCUCAAAAAACCGCGCCCAGUUCAGAUUGUCGGCUGCAACUCGCCGACAUGAAGCUGGAAUCGCUAGUAAUGGCGCAUCAGCUACGGCGCCGUGAAUACGUUCCCAGGCCUUGUACACACCGCCCGUCACAUCAUGAAAGCCGGUUGUACCCGAAGUCAGCGCGCCAACCGCAAGGAGGCAACUGCCGAAGGUAUGGCUGGUGAUUGGGAUGAAGUCGUAACAAGGUA